This 497-nucleotide ribosomal RNA is filed under the name uncultured bacterium. RNAcentral's name for it is "partial 16S ribosomal RNA". It matches the Rfam family "Bacterial small subunit ribosomal RNA", at positions 28 to 507 of the family's 1533-position model. The record is from RNAcentral.
GAUGAACGCUGGCGGCGUGCCUAAUACAUGCAAGUCGAGCGAACGGACGAGAAGCUUGCUUCUCUGAUGUUAGCGGCGGACGGGUGAGUAACACGUGGAUAACCUACCUAUAAGACUGGGAUAACUUCGGGAAACCGUAGCUAAUACCGGAUAAUAUUUUGAACCGCAUGGUUCAAUAGUGAAAGACGGUCUUGCUGUCACUUAUAGAUGGAUCCGCGCUGCAUUAGCUAGUUGGUAAGGUAACGGCUUACCAAGGCAACGAUGCAUAGCCGACCUGAGAGGGUGAUCGGCCACACUGGAACUGAGACACGGUCCAGACUCCUACGGGAGGCAGCAGUAGGGAAUCUUGCGCAAUGGGCGAAAGCCUGACGGAGCAACGCCGCGUGAGUGAUGAAGGGCUUCGGAUCGUAAAACUCUGUUAUUAGGGAAGAACAUAUGUGUAAGGAACCGUGCACAUCUUGACGGUACCUAAUCAGAAAGCCACGGCUAACUACGUG